CUGGAGGUAUCAGAAGUGCGAAUGCUGACAUAAGUAACGAUAAAGCGGGUGAAAAGCCCGCUCGCCGGAAGACCAAGGGUUCCUGUCCAACGUUAAUCGGGGCAGGGUGAGUCGACCCCUAAGGCGAGGCCGAAAGGCGUAGUCGAUGGGAAACGGGUUAAUAUUCCCGUACUUGGUGUUACUGCGAAGGGGGGACGGAGAAGGCUAUGUUGGCCGGGCGACGGUUGUCCCGGUUUAAGCGUGUAGGUGUGUGUUCCAGGUAAAUCCGGUUCACUUUAACACUGAGGCGUGACGACGAGGCACUACGGUGCUGAAGCAACAAAUGCCCUGCUUCCAGGAAAAGCCUCUAAGCAUCAGGUAACAUCAAAUCGUACCCCAAACCGACACAGGUGGUCAGGUAGAGAAUACCAAGGCGCUUGAGAGAACUCGGGUGAAGGAACUAGGCAAAAUGGUGCCGUAACUUCGGGAGAAGGCACGCUGACACGUAGGUGAAGUGAUUUAC
Molecule: ribosomal RNA, 502 nt
Filed under: Salmonella enterica
Lineage: Bacteria; Pseudomonadati; Pseudomonadota; Gammaproteobacteria; Enterobacterales; Enterobacteriaceae
Also listed under: 1 other name
Description: partial 23S ribosomal RNA
Rfam family: Bacterial large subunit ribosomal RNA
Source: RNAcentral